This is an RNA transcript of Dunckerocampus dactyliophorus (ringed pipefish), 3113 nucleotides long. It is a transcript of the gene named cytoskeleton associated protein 2-like, with no coding region annotated. NCBI's taxonomy places the organism in Eukaryota, Metazoa, Chordata, Actinopteri, Syngnathiformes, Syngnathidae. The record is from RefSeq and is a predicted model, not a curated record. The transcript has 11 exons.
CUCCAGCCCAAUUAUUUUCAAGAUAGCUUAGCUGAAACAAGACAUCGUAAGCACCAAGUUUUGGUUAAAUCGGAGUAAAUAAAUUAACAGAAAAUGGACGAAGAAGAUCCUGCGGCGCCCGUGAAAAGCAGAAAAGAGCUGCGCAAGCAGAAGAUGAUGGAAUACUUGACCAUGAAAGGAAAGUCAAAACUGGCCGCAUCCAAGCCAAACCUCUGUGACGGUCCGGCCGGGAAGCCUCAGACUUUGCGACCAUCUGCACUCCAGCUCCUCAAGGGCAAAGAAAAUAAAACUCCCACCAUCAGUUGUAGACAGAAGGACAAAAACUCUCAACCUUUGGCUCCUCUCGCCAACCAAAAACCUUCCAGAAAAACAUUCUUUGCUCCAAACAAAGAGAAUCCCCAAAGCAGCAUCCGGACUGGCCCGCAGAAAGCAGGAGGUUUGCUUAGUCUUCGGUCGACGCUCACCGAAAAGCCAUCUUUCAAGGCGACGUACGGCGUUUCCUCCAAGUCCAGCCUGAAAGCAGACGGUCUUCCCACCAAGCAGACCAAAGUCAGGAUACCGCCCGCAGGGAAAGCAUCAUCCAAUGUCCACUUUCCACUUCCAAAAAACUCCAGCAGCACAUUUCGGGCUGCAUCAAAUACAGCCGGUUCUUUCCCGAUAAAGACUUACACCGUCAGGAUGAGUCUAGGGCCCAUGGUCAAAACCAGGACGGGCCUCAUACCCGCAAUGAUCCCACCCAAAGUCCCCACUCACAUAGCCAAUCCCAGCGCUGCUCCUUCGCGAUCUGGCGUCUCAUCUUCCCGCCCCGUCUCCAAAGCCCCCUCCGCGGCUCAGGUGAAGAAAAUCCCAGUCCGCCAGAGACCAGCUGUCUCUUGUUGGGUGGCCGACAAGUCUCGCCCCAAAGCCAACCUAGCCAAACAGUCGCAACCGUCUUCUCUAAAGCUGAAAUCAGCAUUCACCACCACCUCGUCGCGCACGGCGCUGCACAAACCACCCGGUCAGCCGGCAAAGCAGAGGCCCGAGCCCCAGGAGAGGCUGAUGAGCCAGCGCUCCAAAGCCCACGGAGGGGUGGCGGCGAGUGGAUUCGUCGCCAAGAUGGCCGGCAGAGCGCUUCCAGCUGCGGCACAGGCAGCGAAACCCAAGACGGGCAAAGAGACGGCAAAAGAAGACGCCUCAUUUAAGACCGAUCCAAAGAGAACAAACCCUGCGCCACCAGGGAAGGCCAACGCCAUCAGUCAGCCGAAGCCGCCUCCUGCUACGAAAGCACCAAAGCCCCAAACUGUGGAAAAGAAGGCGACUGCUGAGCAAGAAGAGAGAAUGAGGAAACUGCAGGCAUGGCGGGAAGCCAGGGGUAUUUCCUACAAGCGGCCUCCUAUGCCGGUGAAGCCUCCGGCCAGGCGUCCUGCGGCCUUGCCCCAACCUUUCUGGUCCACCUUGAAGGCGGAGGACGACGCUCGCUCCUUUAUCUACGCCGUGGAAAGAUCCCUGUCCGACUGCAUUAAGAUGCUUGCUGAGGGCUGUCGAGGCCAGCAGGUGAGGGAGGUCCUCUCUCGGCUGCCGCCCGUGUCCCAGAAGUUUGCCAAGUUCUGGAUCUGCAAGGCCCGCCUGAUGGAGCAAGAGGGCAACCUGGACGUCCUACCCAUGUUUGAGGAGGCCGUAGGUGUAGUGCUGGAGCCUGUGGACGAGCUACGCACGGUGGUGUUUGACAUCCUGAAGAAGAAGGAGGAGAGCCGAGCCUGUGAGGGUGACGGCAAAGAAGGGUGCCAAACUCCAAACCAAGUGGAAAGCUCUGCUGAGAGUAACAACGACAGCAACACGAUGGUGACUCCCCCGAAACCUGUCAGAGCCCUCAUCCACGGCGAGAAAGGACGCUCGUCUACCGUGAAGUACAAGAUCACAGCCACUCCUGGCACCCCUUCCAGCCAGCAGAGGGAGGCCAAGCGAGUGAACGGCCAGAAGGUGCUCUUCUUCACACCAGUGAGGCGCUCCGUGCGCAUCGAGACGGCGUCGCUGCAAUACCCGCCGUCCCUCCAGGAGCACGACCCCUGCGUGGCCUCGUACAGUGACCUGCUGGCCGCCGAAGAGGAGAAAGAGAGCGACACUGAACAGACGAGCUCCACCGACGGUGCGCCGAUGUACGUGUACAGGGAGAACGAGGCGCUCCAGGACAAAAUGUUUGUCCAACUUUUGAGGGAGGAGGAGGAGGCCUGACCACAACAUUGGGUACACCUGCCAGUGAGAUCCGAUGUAAGCGAUGUGUUUUAUAAGACAACCAUUCUCAAAACUAUUUGCAGCGGUGCAGCUGUGAGUAUUUUUACAACAAAACUGAUUUUUAUUUCACAAUAGUACAGUGAAAACCGCCACAAUUGCUUUUUCCAGCCACCAUAGUAGGGCUGCAGUGGUGUCAAAGAGGGGGAAAAUGUGUGAUGACAACCACAGAACCAGACACGUAGUACACACUACUCAAGCAAUAGCUAUAAAAGGCCACCAGGUGACAGUAUUGCCUUGUGAACACCCUGCUCCCUGUCCGUUAUGCAACCUUCAAAGGAGAAGGGGAAAGGUGUGCACACGAUCCCGGCCAGUAGGGGGCGAGCUGGAGCUGCACACCAACCCUCAUGUCGCCACGCAAAGUGUCAUUUACAAAAAAAAAAGGGGGAAAAACAAAGACGCUUCCUGUGCGGGACUCAAGCAACUACUUGAGGUAUCACACGUUGGAGACAUCUCUACUGCAGCUUCAGCUUCACCCAGGAUUUCAGUGUUCAGCGUCAUGCAGCACCAAGACCCUCCAAUCUUCAUGAAUACAAAAGAAGGCAAAUUCAUGACGUGCAAGAAGCUCCGACGGGAAUUCAAAGGCCGCCUCGCUGACGGACCGAAUGGAGCCAGGAAAGGUACGUCUAAUCAAUGUCACAUUUCCAUAUCCACGGCACUGUGGAAUAUAUGGAAUACAAUAUCCCAAUGAUAAGUCGUCAUCACGAAAUAAAAGGUUGAAAUUGUGAGAUACAAAGUCCUAAUGAUGAGUGCUGCGCAUGCGCCUCUCACUGGCGCCUUGGUCACAUGCAUGGCACUCUGCAUCAUUUCAACUUUUUAUCUCCCAAUUAUGACUUUCCUAUCUC